UUCCUAUGAUGCUCAGCCACUGUGCAGAAGACUACAGCAGCUCACCUCCAGCCUAGUGUCAGUGCUACUUCUGCCGGCAGCUUCCUGUUUUAGGUGCUGACAGCACUCUGGCAACCAUGUGAACAUUCCUAAAACACACAAGUGACACAGUACAAGAAAGGCAAAGAUUCUCUUUGUGCCCAGGGAAAGCAGCGUUAUGACGGGAAGCAGAGUGGCUAUGUUGUUGUGGGAACAAUGGACCUUACUGCUGAAGGCUGAAGACACAGAAGCCCCAUUAUGCCAAGAUGAAAAUGUAAUCAGAGUGAAGGUUCAAUCACAGCUUUUCAUGGUGAAAUCUAUACCAGCGCACUAGAGAAUGGCCACUAUCCAAAAAGGCAGCCAGUAGAUAGAAUGAAAGAGUGCAAAACCUUUGGUCUAGGAUUUACUAAUGUUAAAAAGAAAAAUAGA
Long non-coding RNA from Lynx canadensis (Canada lynx), 447 nucleotides. RefSeq lists it as uncharacterized. Lineage: Eukaryota; Metazoa; Chordata; Mammalia; Carnivora; Felidae. The transcript is spliced from 3 exons. The record is from RefSeq and is a predicted model, not a curated record.